CAAUAGCGUAUAUUAAAGUUGUUGCGGUUAAAAAGCUCGUAGUUGGAUUUCUGCCGAGGACGUCCGGUCCACCCUCUGGGUGUGUACAUGGCACGGCCUGGGCAUCUUCUUGGGGUACGUAUCUGCACUUGACUGUGUGGUGCGGAAUCCAGGACUUUUACUUUGAGGAAAUUAGAGUGUUUCAAGCAGGCACGCGCCUUGAAUACAUUAGCAUGGAAUAAUAAGAUAGGACCUCGGUUCUAUUUUGUUGGUUUCUAGAGCUGAGGUAAUGAUUAAUAGGGAUAGUUGGGGGCAUUCGUAUUUAACUGUCAGAGGUGAAAUUCUUGGAUUUGUUAAAGACGGACUACUGCGAAAACAUUUGCCAAGGAUGUUUUCAUUGA
Molecule: ribosomal RNA, 380 nt
Filed under: uncultured eukaryote
Lineage: Eukaryota
Description: partial 18S ribosomal RNA
Rfam family: Eukaryotic small subunit ribosomal RNA
Source: RNAcentral